AAACAGCCAUCCUGGCCCUGUAGC
RNAcentral lists this non-coding RNA (24 nucleotides) under Cricetulus griseus (Chinese hamster). The record is from RNAcentral. Lineage: Eukaryota; Metazoa; Chordata; Mammalia; Rodentia; Cricetidae.